UUCACAAGAAUUUAGAGAAUUUACGAUAUGGUUUUGUGGAAAAUUGAAAGAACCCACUUGGUAAAAAAAAUGAAAACUCUGAAACUCUGAAGAUAGCAUUAAAUAUACGACGUUUAAAGGAAUCGUCGAAACUUACACAUGUAGAGAAACCGAGAUAAGCUGAAGUUGAAGUCGGAGAUGAUAAUCAUUAUAGUUCAGGUGUCAGUGGCAGUUUAGAAUACAAUAACUUGACCGUUUAUUUGGAAACAAUAAGUAAAAAGACCAUGACAUUAGCUAUAGCAAAACUUGGCAAGCUGACCAACCAACUGUGCAACAGGAAAAUGUUAGAUUCAUCUCUUCAGCUGAACAAGAAUGAUGUUCUUGAAAUAUUUAAAAUUAUUUGAUAUCCAAAUUUAAAGGACAUGUGAAAAUGAUAAAAUAGUAUUAUCCGAUGAGAUUGUCAAUUGUUAAUUCAUUACAAAUUAUUUAGAUAAAAGAAAAAAAUAUAAAUUGGACACCCUGAAUAACUUUUAUAUUGUGUUGUUUGAAUAAUUACAAGACAGACUGUCAACGUGUAAAUGUAGUGUACAAACGAAAUAUGAUCAGCUGGAUGAUUCAUAACCCGCAUCAACGAAAUAGGAGGGUGAGGCAAUACACUGAAGGAGUCAUACUCUGCAACCGCAUAAUAGGAGGGUCUAUCAAUACGCUUGGGGAGAUUCGUAGACUGUAGCAUUGAUAGAGGA
Long non-coding RNA from Mytilus trossulus (common blue mussel), 722 nucleotides. RefSeq lists it as uncharacterized. The transcript is spliced from 3 exons. Lineage: Eukaryota; Metazoa; Mollusca; Bivalvia; Mytilida; Mytilidae. The record is from RefSeq and is a predicted model, not a curated record.